Alnus glutinosa is the source of this 623-nucleotide long non-coding RNA. RefSeq lists it as uncharacterized. The record is from RefSeq and is a predicted model, not a curated record. Lineage: Eukaryota; Viridiplantae; Streptophyta; Magnoliopsida; Fagales; Betulaceae. The transcript is spliced from 3 exons.
CUCCCUCUCUCCAUCUCCUCUCUUCAACCCCACCGUGAGCCGGCCACCGUCGACCACGUGGUAUGCACGAGCCCACCGUGGUGCUCGUUUGGUGCUCUGAUUCAAAUAUACAGCUUCUCUUUCCUUUCCCCCCCUCAUUUCAGAAAAGCUUUUCCCCAAAUUUCAAAACUUCUCCCAAACAAAGCUGUUGUCGCUACCGCCCACCACCACCAGCCUUUGCAACCUCCCACCGCCACCGGACCGUCAUCUCCGAUGACCCAUACCCAUCUCCAUCGCUUCCCACCGUACAGAUCCAACGAGCACACCGAGUUGUGAUUGAUGUAUCUAGACCGAGCCCUCUCUUGCUCUCUCUUUCUCUCACCCAGUAGACCGAGUGCCUCUCUCUCUAUCUGCAAGCAGCCUAAAUCAAUUAAGCCGACAGGGUCACGAUCUUUGCUGGUAGGGUUUCUUCGAAAAGUAAUCAACCUGUGGAAUCUUCCACUGAAAUCAGCACCUCCGAGUCCACGCAACGCAGUGGGGCCACAUCUUCAAUUGAGCGCAUUUGUUUUUGUGACCAGCCUGUGAUGGUGAAAACUGCCCACACCACUGAAAAUUUCGGUAGGAGAUUCAUGAGUUGCGAAAAU